AGGACGAACGCUGGCGGCGUGCUUAACACAUGCAAGUGGAGCGACGAACCAGGGCUUGCCCUGGGGCAGAGCCGCGAACGGGUGAGUAACACGUGGGUUACCUGCCUCGAUGACCGGGACAACCCGAGGAAAACUCGGGCUAAUACCGGAUGUGCCCGCAAGGGGAAAGGAAGCUUCGGCCUCCGCAUCGAGAUGGGCCCGCGGCCCAUUAGCUUGUUGGUGAGGUAACGGCUCACCAAGGCUUCGAUGGGUAGCUGGUCUGAGAGGACGAUCAGCCACACUGGGACUGAGACACGGCCCAGACUCCUACGGGAGGCAGCAGUGGGGAAUUUUGCGCAAUGGGGGAAACCCUGACGCAGCAACGCCGCGUGGAGGAUGAAAUCCCUUGGGAUGUAAACUCCUUUCGAUCGGGAAGAUAAUGACGGUACCGAGAGAAGAAGCCCCGGCUAACUUCGCGCCAGCAGCCGC
Molecule: ribosomal RNA, 468 nt
Filed under: uncultured bacterium
Lineage: Bacteria
Description: SSU rRNA
Rfam family: Bacterial small subunit ribosomal RNA
Source: RNAcentral